AGAUGAGUUCUCCCUGAGACUUAAAGUCUCCUGAAGGAACGUUGAAGACGACGACGUUGAUAGGCCGGGUGUGUAAGCGCAGCGAUGCGUUGAGCUAACCGGUACUAAUGAACCGUGAGGCUUAACCCUACAACGCCGAAG
Molecule: ribosomal RNA, 141 nt
Filed under: Salmonella enterica subsp. enterica serovar Dublin
Lineage: Bacteria; Pseudomonadati; Pseudomonadota; Gammaproteobacteria; Enterobacterales; Enterobacteriaceae
Description: partial 23S ribosomal RNA
Rfam family: Bacterial large subunit ribosomal RNA
Source: RNAcentral